UGAAGCGGGAUCGGCUCAAUGUGUGAAUCUGGCUUGGGGUAGUUCCCUGGUCCGAGUUGUGCACUAUGGACGUUUCGUCUGCGUUUGUAAUGGCGGUGGAAGUCCGUUGAAACACGGCACCUCAGAGGGUCACAGUCCUGUACCACCUGCCUGCACUCGCGCCAAUGACAAGCGCUCCUCGAGUCGCGUAGUUUUGUAAUGCUGCGCCAAGUGGGAGGUAGAGACCUUCUAAGGCUAAAUAUGAUGACGUGACCGAUAGCACACAAGUACCGCGAGGGAAAGGUGAAAAGCAACCAUGAAAAAUGGGUUGAAACAGUAGUGAAAGCGCUACCGGGAUAAGGGCUAUCGGGUGCUGGGGCUUCUCGGGUGUGCUUCAGUGCUACCCUUGGAGACGGCCCGCGUGGGUUGAUUGGGGCGAUAGACGCGCUGUAGGAAUUCGGCUGCCUUCGGGCAGUGUUGUAGCCUGCGGUUGCUGAUCCUCCUGCGACC
RNAcentral lists this ribosomal RNA (489 nucleotides) under Tulasnella cumulopuntioides. RNAcentral describes it as "eukaryotic LSU rRNA". It matches the Rfam family "Eukaryotic large subunit ribosomal RNA", at positions 94 to 527 of the family's 3401-position model. Lineage: Eukaryota; Fungi; Basidiomycota; Agaricomycetes; Cantharellales; Tulasnellaceae. The record is from RNAcentral.